This 253-nucleotide long non-coding RNA is filed under the name Elaeis guineensis (African oil palm). Its description in RNAcentral is "long non-coding RNA (EGUI_LNC038499)". Lineage: Eukaryota; Viridiplantae; Streptophyta; Magnoliopsida; Arecales; Arecaceae. The record is from RNAcentral.
CAGUAGUCAAAGUGGUCCACAUCGAGUUUGGUGAUCCUCUUGGAUCAUUCAUUCAUUCUUUCUUUUUUAGAUUCAGAAGCUUAGUUUCGGACAUGGAUACUACUUUGAAAGUGAGAUUAGAAAUAAAAUUUAGCAAUAUCAAAUUUAUUUAGAUUUAGAUUUAUUAUUAUUAGUUAAAAUUUAUCAUUCAAAAUGUAUUUAAUGUAAAAAAUUUCAAAUAUAUUUUGUUAAUUGAAUUUCAACUUUAGUUAAU